UGCCCCAGUAACGGCGAGUGAAGCGGCAACAGCUCAAAUUUGAAAUCCGGCCCCCCCGGGCCCGAGUUGUAAUUUGUAGAGGAUGCUUUUGGCGCGGUGCCUUCUGAGUUCCCUGGAACGGGACGCCGGAGAGGGUGAGAGCCCCGUAUAGUCGGACACCAAGCCUCUGUAAAGCUCCUUCGACGAGUCGAGUAGUUUGGGAAUGCUGCUCUAAAUGGGAGGUAAAUUUCUUCUAAAGCUAAAUACCGGCUAGAGACCGAUAGCGCACAAGUAGAGUGAUCGAAAGAUGAAAAGCACUUUGAAAAGAGGGUUAAACAGCACGUGAAAUUGUUGAAAGGGAAGCGUUUGUGACCAGACUUGCGCCCGGCGAAUCAUCCGGCGUUCUCGCCGGUGCACUUCGCCGGGUUCAGGCCAGCAUCGGUUCUCUUAGGGGGAUAAAAGCGGUGGGAAUGUAGCUCCCUCGGGAGUGUUAUAGCCUGCCGCACAAUGCCCUUGGGGGGACCGAGGUUCGCGCGUCUGCAAGGAUGCUGGCGUAAUGGUCACCAGCGACCCGUCUUGAAACACGGAUCAAGGAGUCAAGCAGUAGGGCGAGUGUUUGGGUGCCAAACCCGCACGCGUAAUGAAAGUGAAUGUAGGUGAGAGCUUCGGCGCAUCAUCGACCGAUCCUGAAGUAUUCGGAUGGAUUUGAGUAAGAGCCUUACCGCUUGGACCCGAAAGAUGGUGAACUAUGCCUGUAUAGGGUGAAGCCAGAGGAAACUCUGGUGGAGGCUCGCAGCGGUUCUGACGUGCAAAUCGAUCGUCAAAUAUGGGCAUGGGGGCGAAAGACUAAUCGAACCAUCUAGUAGCUGGUUACCGCCGAAGUUUCCCUCAGGAUAGCAGUGUUGUUUUCAGUUUUAUGAGGUAAAGCGAAUGAUUAGGGACUCGGGGGCGCUAUUUAGCCUUCAUCCAUUCUCAAACUUUAAAUAUGUAAGAAGCCCUUGUUGCUUUAUUGAACGUGGGCAUUCGAAUGUAUCAACACUAGUGGGCCAUUUUUGGUAAGCAGAACUGGCGAUGCGGGAUGAACCGAACGCUGGGGUAAGGUGCCGGAGUGGACGCUCAUCAGACACCA
RNAcentral lists this ribosomal RNA (1108 nucleotides) under Platytrachelon abietis. RNAcentral's name for it is "eukaryotic LSU rRNA". It matches the Rfam family "Eukaryotic large subunit ribosomal RNA", at positions 76 to 1214 of the family's 3401-position model. The record is from RNAcentral. Lineage: Eukaryota; Fungi; Ascomycota; Sordariomycetes; Papulosaceae.